AUCUGUCUUAGUGGCGGACGGGUGAGUAACGCGUGGGCAACCUGCCCUGUACCGGGGGAUAACACUUAGAAAUAGGUGCUAAUACCGCAUAAUAGGGAAUACCGCAUGGUAAUCCUUUGAAAACUCCGGUGGUACAGGAUGGGCCCGCGUCUGAUUAGCCAGUUGGCGGGGUAACGGCCCACCAAAGCGACGAUCAGCAGCCGGCCUGAGAGGGUGACCGGCCACAUUGGGACUGAGACACGGCCCAAACUCCUACGGAAGGCAGCAG
RNAcentral lists this ribosomal RNA (268 nucleotides) under uncultured bacterium. Its description in RNAcentral is "partial 16S ribosomal RNA". It matches the Rfam family "Bacterial small subunit ribosomal RNA", at positions 85 to 354 of the family's 1533-position model. The record is from RNAcentral.